RNAcentral lists this unclassified non-coding RNA (210 nucleotides) under soil metagenome. RNAcentral describes it as "partial contains small subunit ribosomal RNA, internal transcribed spacer 1, and 5.8S ribosomal RNA". The record is from RNAcentral.
UUUCCGUAGGUGAACCUGCGGAAGGAUCAUUACAAAUCAAAGAGGGGGUUUGAUGGGAGAUGAUAGAUUUGAAAUUUGAAAUUUGAUUUAUCGUCAUUCAUCCCAACCACAUUUGCACAGAGCUCUGCUCUGAUGUACACGCUUGUUUGUUUGACAAAAUAAAAUAUUCUUUAAUGUUGACAACUUUUAACAAUGGAUCUCUUGGCUCUU